Molecule: long non-coding RNA, 2161 nt
Organism: Triticum aestivum (bread wheat)
Lineage: Eukaryota; Viridiplantae; Streptophyta; Magnoliopsida; Poales; Poaceae
Exons: 3
Source: RefSeq, a predicted model, not a curated record
CCGCCACCGCCGGCGAUCCCCUUCAGGAGUCGCCGCUGAUCCCCUUCAGGACACCCCUUCGCCGCCGCCGAGAUCUGAAAGGACGCCGAGAUCCCGCGCCUCCUCCUCGUCGGCCUUCACCGCAGGUGAUUGUGGUUCCUCCCGCUGCCCAGUGAUGUUCCGGUGGGUGUAGUUAGUUGAGUUUGAUCCGCUUGGUCUCACCGUCGAUUUCGCAUCUACGCGUACCUCCGCUGAAUUUCGUGUAACUCGCGGGCGGUCCGGGCGAAUUCCUUCAGAUCUUCCUUCACCGAUGCUACAUGCACGACCUCCGCGACCACCCGCCAGCGACGGUCUGAGGUCACCGACGCGGGCCGGCAGGCGACCCAACGAUUCACCGCCGCCGUCGGGUUCGUCUCUCGGGCUGACAUACUGCGGAUCGGAACUCCGUUGGAUCCUCUGUCGUUGGCCCAUAUGCAAUUUUCCAGUCUGUGUUUUCUGCUCCUCUUUGGCGCAAUGUGGAAGAUGUUGGUUUUGAAGGCUAGCAGGGGCAGCCAGUGGUGGAGUAAUCAGUGGUUUAUUAGGUCAUGGAGCCCAAGACCGGAUGCAGCAGAAGAAGCAGCGUCGUUGCCGUGCAUUAAGCAGGUCAACAGAGUCUGUGAGGCGGAAGAUCCAUAGCAUACAGGUGACUCAGUAGGUGCUCAUUUUAUCUUUCUGCUUAUGUUCCAAUUUUAUUGUUCUUUUCCACAUUAGAGUAGAAUGAAUAUUUGUAUUAACAUCUCUUCUUGUAGUUGUAAAUCCUGUGCAUCAGUUGGGGUAAGCUUCUCAAAUGCCUAGCACCAAUUAGGCUUCUAAAAUUGAAGCAUAGACAAAAUUCAGUUAAGCAUCCAAGUUUCUUUUUAAGCGGUACACUAUAUUGCUAACCGAGGGAACUUCUAUUUGUGUUGCUUGUUUUUUCUAGCACUUGAGUGUGUUUGCAGUUUUUCAACCAUCCAUCGUUGAAGCUACAGGAGCCUGGUACCAAUCAUACUACUUGGAGAACCUAAGAAAGUUGUUUAUUCUGUCUCCACUAGAAACCGGAAAUGAGAACACCAUCUCUACGUAACUGAACCAAGUGACUGAAAAUUUAUGUUAUAUGGUACAACCUCACGAGAGAAUUAUUUCUAUACACGUAGAACACAGUUACAUGUAUGCCUUCAAAGUUAUUAGUUAUUUUAAAAGAGAGUUUUGAAAUGUAUAAAUGAGCUUGGCUUUCAACCCGGCAAGGUCUAGAAUUUCUCAGUUUUGUUAACUCAUACACCGUUUUAGUUACCAUAUGUAUAAUUGUGGAUACCUGAUACUCUAAAUGCCCAUUCGGCCAGGUUGAUUUGCAAGGGCUGUGUGGAGCGAACCCUGUUCCUCUAAACCAAGGGGUCCUUAUGGCCCUUUUCCUGCAACUGGCAUGCAACAUAGCCGAUGAGAUAUCCCUGAAGCUUCAAGGGAUACAAAGGAUGUUAUUACUCAACCCACAUGAUUGGGAGUUAUAGAAGGACUUUAUGCCGCACAUUCCUCAGUACAUGGGGUAAAAUGCAGGAACAAUGGGAAAAUAAAAUAUUAACAGAGGUUGCGGUUGGAGAACCUCAGAAUCAUGCUCUUUUCUGAAAUCCAGUUAGCUGGAGUAAUCCCCCUUUGGAAACAUUGAUGGAAACUCAAUAUUAUCCAAGGAACUUUCGUUCCAUAGGCUCUCUCUGUCCCCUCAAGUAAGCAGGUCAUACAUUAGGAUGCUCAAGUUACAGUGGCUUGAUGUAGGCAAGUAACUUUCACACAUUUUCUCUUCCAACCAUCCCAACCCCGCCGAGCUCAUGAUGUUAGGCCCGGGCGUGGGUGCCGGGAGAACCUGACCGUGCCUCGCGCGAAAGACUUCCCCACAUUCGCGUGCCGCCACCAGAGCAGCAAGGCGCACAAAGGAUGGGCGACAUCGGGCUUGCGCCGUGUACAGGGUGUGCAGGAGAGGAGGCAUGGUUCAAGGUCGUCUCUUCUGCCACGUGUAUAUGUAUAUUACCAGCUUGCGCCUCACUGGCCAGUAAUGAUUAUUGGGUUUCUUGUUACGCUUUCAACCUCGGAGAGCGAUUUAUGUUUUAAUUUCUUGGUAGUCAGUAAUGUUGUGACACUAUCUUUUUUGCACCCUUGUGAUUUCUGUGAUGUG